UCUGCAGGUUGUGUGUCAGAAAGGUCUGGGUUCCAAGGGGAGUAUCUCAGCAACAAGGAGCAUUUAUCCUGCAGAGACACACGGAUACACAGACACAGACAGAUAGGCAGGCACACCGUCAGACACAGACUCAGACUCAGACAGACAGAGAGCCAGUUUUGGAGAUUUUGUUGGAGAUUGCUGCUGCUGCUGCUGCUGCUGCUCGUGAUUUUUGCUGCUGUGUGCAUCUUGCCCUGAUUGUACUGAAAUCACACCGGGGUCUGAACACCAGGCGACGGCUGAGGUUCUCUCUGAAAGCCCCUGUUUAAAGCUGACAGCGAUGUGGUGAACCUGCAGCCCGGAGAGAGACAGGGAGAGUGAGUGAGGGCUGUAUCUCCGCGUCCCCCGGCUCAGACACAGGAGCUAAUAGCCUCUGCCUCCAGGUUUCUGGUUCCCCCCAGCCAGAUUUCUGCAGAUACCAGUGAUUUGUUUUAACUGCAACUAAACCAAGUGGGGGCACCGAAAGGUAAAUGGUUGGAUUCUGCUGUGGAUUCCUGAGCAAGUUUGAAGAGAAGGAAUCGAUGGAACUACGUCAACAUCCAAUCAUUGAGUAUGUUUUCAGUUUGCAUGGCCUGUAACACACGUGUUUCUCUGAAAGGUUUGGAAGGAAGCUGGGACAAUACUAACCUUCCCUCCCCCCUGAUGAAGAUGUGACUUAUGGAUCAGCAGCUUGGAAUUUGACUGGAAUCAUUCCCUGUAGCUGUGGGUGGCUGUGGAAAUACCUUCAGCAGCUUCUAAAGCUGGAGUGCAGAGUGGGGUGAUGAUCAGAGAAGAAUGCUGGCUUCUACAGAGACAUGUGCACGGAAUCAGGAUUAAACCCCAGUGGAGCUGAA
Non-coding RNA from Chiloscyllium plagiosum (whitespotted bambooshark), 872 nucleotides. NCBI's taxonomy places the organism in Eukaryota, Metazoa, Chordata, Chondrichthyes, Orectolobiformes, Hemiscylliidae. The record is from RefSeq and is a predicted model, not a curated record.